GAUGAACGCUGGCGGCGUGCCUAAUACAUGCAAGUCGAGCGAACAGACGAGGAGCUUGCUCCUCUGACGUUAGCGGCCGACGGGUGAGUAACACGUGGAUAACCUACCUAUAAGACUGGGAUAACUUCGGGAAACCGGAGCUAAUACCGGAUAAUAUAUUGAACCGCAUGGUUCAAUAGUGAAAGACGGUUUUGCUGUCACUUAUAGAUGGAUCCGCGCCGCAUUAGCUAGUUGGUAAGGUAACGGCUUACCAAGGCAACGAUGCGUAGCCGACCUGAGAGGGUGAUCGGCCACACUGGAACUGAGACACGGUCCAGACUCCUACGGGAGGCAGCAGUAGGGAAUCUUCCGCAAUGGGCGAAAGCCUGUCGGAGCAACGCCGCGUGAGUGAUGAAGGUCUUCGGAUCGUAAAACUCUGUUAUUAGGGAAGAACAAAUGUGUAAGUAACUAUGCACGUCUUGACGGUACCUAAUCAGAAAGCCACGGCUAACUACGUG
This 497-nucleotide ribosomal RNA is filed under the name uncultured bacterium. RNAcentral describes it as "partial 16S ribosomal RNA". It matches the Rfam family "Bacterial small subunit ribosomal RNA", at positions 28 to 507 of the family's 1533-position model. The record is from RNAcentral.